ACACUCCUGCGGGAGGCAGCAGUGGGGAAUAUUGGACAAUGGGCGCAAGCCUGAUCCAGCCAUGCCGCGUGAGUGAUGAAGGCCCUAGGGUUGUAAAGCUCUUUCACCGGUGAAGAUAAUGACGGUAACCGGAGAAGAAGCCCCGGCUAACUUCGUGCCAGCAGCCGCGGUAAUACGAAGGGGGCUAGCGUUGUUCGGAUUUACUGGGCGUAAAGCGCACGUAGGCGGACUAUUAAGUCAGGGGUGAAAUCCCGGGGCUCAACCCCGGAACUGCCUUUGAUACUGGUAGGCUUGAGUUCGAGAGAGGUGAGUGGAAUUCCGAGUGUAGAGGUGAAAUUCGUAGAUAUUCGGAGGAACACCAGUGGCGAAGGCGGCUCACUGGCUCGAUACUGACGCUGAGGUGCGAAAGCGUGGGGAGCAAACAGGAUUAGAAACCCUAGUAGUCCCA
This 448-nucleotide ribosomal RNA is filed under the name uncultured organism. RNAcentral describes it as "partial 16S ribosomal RNA". It matches the Rfam family "Bacterial small subunit ribosomal RNA", at positions 333 to 797 of the family's 1533-position model. The record is from RNAcentral.